This is a long non-coding RNA of Mytilus californianus (California mussel), 4922 nucleotides long. RefSeq lists it as uncharacterized. Lineage: Eukaryota; Metazoa; Mollusca; Bivalvia; Mytilida; Mytilidae. The record is from RefSeq and is a predicted model, not a curated record. The transcript is spliced from 2 exons.
UUAAUUGUUUAUUACAAUCUGUAGUAGUCUACUUGUUGUUGAAGUCAAUGAGCUCAUCAUAGAUAUCAGUAUUAAAAUUUUGUACGCCAGAUGCAUGUUUGUCUACAAAACCCCCAUCAGUGAUGCUUGAAUCAAAAGAGAUAAAAAGGCAAAAAUAAAAGAAGUUGAAGACCAUUGUGAGUUUGGUAGGUUUAUAUUUACAUUGAAUGUCAAACAGUUUAAGACUAGUUGCAUGUUAACAAAAUGUGCCUUUUAAACAAAUACCUAUAUAUUUGAAUAUGUGAAACACCCAAUCUGAUUCAAAAACAGAUCAUGUAAGCAAAGCAUGGACAUACGCUCUGUAUUUUAAUCCAAUUGUGAAACACCCAAAAUAAAAUGUGAUCAAUACAUGAAGUUAAAAUAGGAAAUGGACAUCUUUACUUCCUGUACAAGAAUCUGUAGAAGUUCAGUGGGUUUAUGUUGAUCAUGAGUGAGGAUAAUGACCGGUGGUUCAAACAAAAGGCCAUGAUGCAAAACAACAACCUAUUAAUGCUGCUUUUGUUUCAAUGAUAAGAAAAUAAAAGGACCUGUAAUUUAAACCAUUUUUUUACUAAUAGAUAUCUACGUACAAUGAACUGCUACCAGCACACAGAAAUAUUAUAUCUCAAAGACAUAUAUAAUACCUGUAGUUAAAUCCCUGAAACAGGAGAUAGAAAACACAACUGAUCUGAUAAAUCAUUGUAUCGUCUUUAAACCUUUAAUAUAUACAUGUAUUAGAGGCAAAAUUCUCAGGGCCGAUAUUGUUACAACUCUCUAUUACCUUAAAACUGACAUAAUAAAUCUUCCCACAGAUCUUGUAACAAUUUUUCUUCUAUUUUCAUGGGUUUUUUCAAUGUAAAAAUUAGAAUUUCUCAUAAACAUGUAUGAAUGAAUGAUUUACAAAUAAAAGCCCAAAAUGUUUUUUCUUUAACUUCUGCAUAUAUAUUGUCACAAUACUGUACACAGACAUAUUAUUCAAAUGCCACAAAUAUUUGUUUCAGGAUUGCCGUCAUCAUAAUAAACUGUUUAGACUGAAAAUGUUUUGUGCAUUAUUUCUCAUAUCUGCUGGGAAGUAGGUGCAAAAGCAUAUGUUGUAGAACAGCCAAACCUAGUUUGGUAGGCGUGUGUCAAAUGGUUUACCAUGUGCACCUUCUAUUAGCAAAAUUUUGCCUGAAGCAUUUUGUGCAUAGCCUUAAAUUAUUACUCCUCCAACUUUGUAUAAUUGUUAUUCAUGUUAAUAUUUUCAUUGUACAUAUUCCUUUGCUCGUUCCACGUUACACAUAUGUAUGUUCUUAUUGGAUUUUUGUCCUGAGCAUGCAUGAAAUAUUUGCCACUGGACGUAAAGCAACAAACAAUCAAUCAAUCUUAUUGGAUUAGUGUGUCUUGUUUGCAAUGCUGCUAUUGGAUUUAAGGCCAUUAAAUUAAUUUGAUUUAUUUUGAUAUGGAGUUUAAAUUACAAAAUGUACAAAUGCACAGUUGUUCCGUAACUAUGAUUUUACUGACUUCUAAAGUUUGAAGGAUGAAAUUUUUAAGACUUACAUACAGUUCCUUGUGUAGUCCUUUUUUAAACUUACUAAGUUCUUUUCUAGACACACAACGUUCUUUUCUUAACUUACAGAUCAGUUCUGCAAAUGGACGUUACGCAACCAACAAUCAAUCAAUCUUUUGUAGAGGUUUACAUGUAUCUCUAGCUUCAUGAAUAAUAUAAAAUUUUAAUAAUUCUGACAAAAGAAAGCAAUAGUCUAGUAAGGUAAAAGUUUGUUAAAGAGGGCCUGACAGCAUUGUGAAGGUCAUCUUAGUAUUGUGAUAAACCAAAUUAAACUCAAUGUUUGAAAAUAUAAACAAGGAGUAACUAAGUUAAUCUGAUUAGUUAAUUGAAUCUUACUGAUAGUUUGUAACUCAACCCACUUUAAUAUUAGUUGUUAGAUGUAAUAGUAAUUUUAAAUUGAUAAUAAUCUUCAUGGUUUGUGACGAACUGUAUUUCCAGGAAACUAUAAAUUGAGAAAUUAUUGCUGAUGUUUUUAUAAAUGUGAAUAAAAUGCUCCGCUGGGUGCAGCUUGAUACGACCGCAGAGGUCGAACCCUGAACAGUUGGGGCAAGUAUGGACACAACAUUCAAGCUUGAUACAGCUCUGAAUUUGGAUUGUGAUUAAAUAUUUGACACAGCAUAGGUUUCUGACACAGAAUGAAUGUGGUCUAAGAACUUAAAAAUUUUAAAUUGGACAUUCACCUAUUAUGGUCCAAUAUCCAAAAUCUAAAUACAUGGUUAGAUUCAGCAUAUCAAAGAACCCCAAGAAUUCAAUUUAUGAUGAAAUCAAACAAAGUUUAAUUUUGGACCCUUUUGACCUCAAUGUGGACAAAGUUGAUAACGGGGCCCAAAAAUCAAAAAUCUAAAUACAUGGUUAGAUUCAGCAUAUCAAAGAACCCCAUAUAUUCAAUUUUUGUUGAAAUCAAACAAAGUUUAAUUUUGGACCCCGAUUUGGACCAACUUGAAAACUGGGCCCAUAAUCAAAAAUCUAAAUACAUGUUUAGAUUCAGCAUAUCAAAGAACCCUAAAAAUUCAAUUUUUGUUAAAAUCAAACUAAGUUUAAUUUUGGACCCUUUGGACCUUUAUGUAGACCAAUUUGAAAACGGAACCAAAAAUUAAGAAUCCAAAUACACGGUUAGAUUCGGCAUAUCAAAGAACCCCAAUAAUUCAAUUUUUGAUGAAAUCAAACAAAGUUAAAUUUUGGACCCUUUGGACUUCAAUGUGGACCAAUUUAAAAACGGGGCCCAAAAUCCAAAAACUUAAUACACGGUUAGAUUCAGCAUAUUACAGAACCCCAUAUAUUCAAUUUUUGUUGAAAUCAAACAAAGUUUAAUUUGGACCAACUUGAAAACUGGGCCCAUAAUCAAAAAUCUAAAUACAUGGUUAGAUUCAGCAUAUCAAAGAACCCCAUAUAUUCAAUUUUUGUUGAAAUCAAACAAAGUUUAAUUUUGGACCCCGAUUUGGACCAACUUGAAAUCUGGGCCCAUAAUCAAAAAUCUAAAUACAUGGUUAGAUUCAGCAUAUCAAAGAACCCCAUAUAUUCAAUUUUUGAUGAAAUCAAACAAAGUUUAAUUUUGGACCCUUUUGAUCUCAAUGUGGACAAAGUUGAUAACGGGGCCCAACAAUCAAAAAUCUAAAUACAUGGUUAGAUUCAGCAUAUCAAAGAACCCCAUAUAUUCAAUUUUUGUUGAAAUCAAACAAAGUUUAAUUUUGGACCCCGAUUUGGACCAACUUGAAAACUGGGCCCAUAAUCAAAAAUCUAAAUACAUGGUUAGAUUCAGCAUAUCAAAGAACCCCAUAUAUUCAAUUUUUGUUGAAAUCAAACAAAGUUUAAUUUUGGACCCCGAUUUGGACCAACUCGAAAACUGGGCCCAUAAUCAAAAAUCUAAAUACAUGGUUAGAUUCAGCAUAUCAAAGAACCCCAUAUAUUCAAUUUUUGUUGAAAUCAAACUAAGUUUAAUUUUGGACCCUUUGGAACUUUAUGUAGACCAAUUUGAAAACAGAACCAAAAAUUAAGAAUCUAAAUACACGGUUAGAUUCGGCAUAUCAAAGAACCCCAAUAAUUCAAUUUUUGAUGAAAUCAAACAAAGUAAAAUUUUGGACCCUUUGGACCUCAAUGUGGACCAAUUUAAAAACGGGGCCCAAAAUCCAAAAACUUAAUACACGGUUAGAUUCAGCAUAUUAAAGAACCCCAAGAAUUCAAGAAUAAAACCCCAUUGAAAUUGAUCAAGAAAUAAGCAAUUUAUACGAAGUAUCUUCUUUUGCACAAUACUGUGCAAUUGAUUAUUUCUUGCUAUUGCGCAAUACUGUACAAUUGACAAUUUCUUGCUAUUGCGCAAUAUUGUGCUAUUGGAUAUUUCUUGCUAUUGCACAAUACUGUGCAAUUGAAGAUUUCUUGCUAUUGCGCAAUACUGUGCAAUUGAAGAUUUCUUGCUAUUGUGCAAUACUGUGCAAUUGAAAAUUUCUUGCUAUUGCACAAUACUUAUUAUAUAAUAAUUUACACAUCCUGUUUGGUGUGUAUCUCCUACCAUAUCAUUAUUAUUUGCUUUUAAAUAUAAAUCAGAAAUAACCAACUUAAAAUGGAAAAUUUUAAAAGAAAAAAAAAAGGAAAAAAUGAAAAAAAAAAAAGAAAAAAAAAAAUCCCCCCCCAAAAUUUUUUGAACCCCCUUAUGAUUCAUCACCCCCAAACUCAAUCUCAGCCUUCCCUUUGUGGUAUGGUACCUUGCAGUACAAUUUCAGAGAGAUCCAUACACUUGAACACAAGUUAUUGUCUGGAAACUAGAAAAAUGCUUAUUUUUGGCCCCUUUUUGGCCCCCAAUUCCUAAACGUUUCGGGCAAUUACCCCCAAACUCAAUUCCAGCUUUCCCUUUGUGAUAUGGAACCUUGUAGUACAAUUUCAGAAAUAUCCAAACACUUACACACAAGUUAUUGUCAUGAAACUAGAAAAAUGCUUGUUUUUUGCCCCUUUUUUGGCCCCUAAUUCCUAACAUUUUGAGGCAAUUACCCCCAAAAUCAAUUACAGCCUUCCCUUUGUGAUAUGGAACCUUGUGGUACAAUGUCAGAGAGAUCCAUACACUUACACACAAGUUAUUGUCUGGAAGUUACAAAAAUGCUUAUUGUUGGCCCCUUUUUGGCCCCUAAUUCCUUAACUGUUGGUACCAUAACCCCCAAAAUCAAUCCCAACCUUCCUUUCAUGGUAUUGAACCUUAUGGUAAAAUUUCAUGGAGAUCCAUUCACUUAAACUAAAGUUAGAGUGCGAAAACCAAUGUGUCUUCGGACGACGCCAGACGACGCCGGACGACGACGACGACGACGCCAACGUCAUACCAAUAUACGACCAAAAAAUUUUCAAUUUUUGCGGUCGUAUAAAAACUAAU